This is a long non-coding RNA of Oryctolagus cuniculus (rabbit), 2181 nucleotides long. The record is from Ensembl. Lineage: Eukaryota; Metazoa; Chordata; Mammalia; Lagomorpha; Leporidae.
AUGGAUUUUGAUGAGCACUGGGACAACGUCCUAGGUGACCUGCACCAAGAUGGGGAACCAAUGGCCUCCGCUCCCAGAUUCUCAGCCCAGCCUAUGAUGACUUCGGCUACUUCCAUCUCCUCAGCCCAGGAGCCCAUGAGCUACUCAGGUGGGAUGGCUCAGUCUCUGGAGACAGACGACCGGGGCGAAUGCUUGGGGACACCAUGUCCACCACUGGCGAGCUGGGUGACCUCAGGGCAGACACCCGGCUCAGCCAUGCACCUGCCUGGUUCAGACAGCUCAGCUCCAACAGCCCCUGCGUGGGACCUCCUCUGGAGCCUCUCAGCUCUACGUCCUCACACACGGUGCGUCUCCUGUGACAUCACUAGUCCAGGCUCUACGUCCUCACACACAGUGAGUCUCCUCUGACACCAGUAGUCCAGGCUCUACAUUGCUGAGUCUCAGUCCUCUGCACUCCUCCUCAGGUGGGAAGCUCCUUGGGGGCCAUGGCUGGUUCUAUACCCUCAGUAACCCAGGGCUGGCUCGUGGUGGGAACUCAGACACUGCAUGCUGAGUGACAUGUGACCAAGCUCCAGCAAGGUCCCUCCUGGGCACCCAGGGUGAGCUGUACACACCAUGACACAAGAAAUGAGCUGGAACAACCACAGAAUUAUCCUCCAAGAGGAUCGGUGUCCUCUUCCCUUCUAAAUACAUUUGUACAUAAUGAGCCUUUAAUUAGACCAAGGCGGGAGUCUCUGCACGGAGAUCAUGCAUGACAAAUGAGGGACGGAGACGAUGCUGAAAGGCUGGGUGGCUGUAACGCAAGGUAACUGCAAUGCCUUUCGAAAGGAAACGCGUUUUGAUCUUGAAAACUGAAAUUAACUUUGAUGUCUUUGGAGAGUCUUCAAGCAUUUUUCGUUCACACAGAGCCUCUUUUCUUUACGCUCUACCAAGAGCACUGGGCGCAGCAGUCGGAGGCUGAGCCUGGACAGAGCUGUCAGGUGGGCUGGCAGGGGACCUCUGGAGUCUGUGUGCAAAGGGUGAGGGGUGCCGGCGCUGCAGCGGCUGAGCCAUGACUGUAGGUAAGUUCAAAGGGCUUUUCACUUCUGCAGGAGCACAAGUCUAGGGCUGUGCUGUGCCCACCGGCUGCGGUCCCAGCAGGGAAGGGCCACGGCUCCUGGACUCCGGCCAGCUCGGAGCAACAGGAGGCGGCAGAGAUGACAGCUCCCAUCUUGGAGAUAAGACACGUGGCCUGAGCUUUAAGGAGCUGGUUCUAAGGAGCCGCCUUAGUUUCAAUUAAAAGCGAUUGCACGCGUAGCAGGUCAGAGACUCUGUGCUUAUCUGCACGGAGCCCAACAGCAGCUUGUAAGCACCUACAAUUCAACGCACUCCCGCCUGACCCCGAGAGCCUUCCGGCACACCACACGCAGGAGGGAGGAGGGGCCCAGAGCAGCAGCAGCCUCACGGCACACCUCUGUGGAACAGCACCCGCACCCCGGCACGAGUGCCCCUCCUGGACCCAGGACCACCUUCCAGGGCGGCGGCCUCCCUCAGCGCCCCGGGCGCCUGCUCAAGGACUUGUGAGUGUGCAGCUUCCUGUGCGCUGUGAGAGGACAGGUCUCACUGCAGGUAGAGUCUGCGACGGCUCCCUGGACGGGAAGACCAGGGCAGCACCCGUCAGCCCCUGAGCCUCAGGGUGGCUGUGGAGGCCCCACGUCCGUCACCUCCCACCAGCUCCACUGGGAGGUUCCUGCAGCCCCUCGCAGUCCAAGGCUCGCCCCUCCCAGCUCCGCAAUACCCUGGAGACGCCACGUCCGUCACCUCCCACCAGCUCCCCCGUGAGGUUCCCGCAGCCCCUCGCAGUCCGAGGCUCGCCCCUCCCAGCUCCGCAAUGCCCCGGUUCAUGCAGCGGCAGGUGGCAGAGCAGAGCUGCCGCCUAGCACCCCACGUGGGCACCAGCUCAAGCCCUGGCUACCGCACUUCCAGCGCAGCCGCUGCUGAUGCACCUGGGAAAGCCGCGGAGGACGGCCCCAGUGCCUGGGCCCCCGCACCCACGUGGGAGACCUGGAAGAAGCUCCUGGCUCCAGAUCCACCCAGCUCCAGCCUUGAGGCCAUGUGGGGAGUGAACCACCGAUAAAGAUCUGUGUGUGUUAACCCUGGCUCCGAAAUAAACAAAACCUUUAAAUAUAAAUAUAUACGAGC